AUUGAACGCUGGCGGCAGGCCUAACACAUGCAAGUCGAGCGGAUGAGGGGAGCUUGCUCCUGGAUUCAGCGGCGGACGGGUGAGUAAUGCCUAGGAAUCUGCCUGGUAGUGGGGGAUAACGUCCGGAAACGGGCGCUAAUACCGCAUACGUCCUGAGGGAGAAAGUGGGGGAUCUUCGGACCUCACGCUAUCAGAUGAGCCUAGGUCGGAUUAGCUAGUUGGUGGGGUAAGGGCCUACCAAGGCGACGAUCCGUAACUGGUCUGAGAGGAUGAUCAGUCACACUGGAACUGAGACACGGUCCAGACUCCUACGGGAGGCAGCAGUGGGGAAUAUUGGACAAUGGGCGAAAGCCUGAUCCAGCCAUGCCGCGUGUGUGAAGAAGGUCUUCGGAUUGUAAAGCACUUUAAGUUGGGAGGAAGGGCAGUAAGUUAAUACCUUGCUGUUUUGACGUUACCAACAGAAAAAGCACCGGCUAACUUCGUG
Molecule: ribosomal RNA, 484 nt
Filed under: uncultured bacterium
Lineage: Bacteria
Description: partial 16S ribosomal RNA
Rfam family: Bacterial small subunit ribosomal RNA
Source: RNAcentral